This is a small nucleolar RNA of Boleophthalmus pectinirostris (great blue-spotted mudskipper), 128 nucleotides long. RefSeq annotates it as small nucleolar RNA SNORA17. NCBI's taxonomy places the organism in Eukaryota, Metazoa, Chordata, Actinopteri, Gobiiformes, Gobiidae. The record is from RefSeq and is a predicted model, not a curated record. The transcript has a single exon.
GUUGCUCCUUGAGGCGUUGCAGCCCCCCCUUGUGGUGGUGCUGUGUCAUUAGGAGCAUAGAGAGAAGGUGGAGGUUUGCACUGGAUCUGUCUGCAGAGAGAUGUCAGUGUCAAAUCACCACCAACAAA